This 497-nucleotide ribosomal RNA is filed under the name uncultured bacterium. RNAcentral describes it as "partial 16S ribosomal RNA". It matches the Rfam family "Bacterial small subunit ribosomal RNA", at positions 28 to 507 of the family's 1533-position model. The record is from RNAcentral.
GAUGAACGCUGGCGGCGUGCCUAAUACAUGCAAGCCGAGCGAACAGACGAGGAGCUUGCUCCUCUGACGUUAGCGGCGGACGGGUGAGUAACACGUGGAUAACCUACCUAUAAGACUGGGAUAACUUCGGGAAACCGGAGCUAAUACCGGAUAAUAUAUUGAAUCGCAUGGUUCAAUAGUGAAAGACGGUUUUGCUGUCACUUAUAGAUGGAUCCGCGCCGCAUUAGCUAGUUGGUAAGGUAACGGCUUACCAAGGCAACGAUGCGUAGCCGACCUGAGAGGGUGAUCGCCCACACUGGAACUGAGACACGGUCCAGACUCCUUCUGGAGGCGACAUUAGGCAUUUUUCCGCAAUGUGCUAAAGCCUGACGUAGCAACGCCUCGUGAGUUAUGAUGGUCUUCGGAUCGUAAAACUCUGUUAUUAGGGAAGAACAAAUGUGUAAGUAACUAUGCACGUCUUGACGGUACCUUAUCAGAAAGCCACGGCUAACUACUUG